Molecule: ribosomal RNA, 700 nt
Filed under: uncultured bacterium
Lineage: Bacteria
Description: bacterial SSU rRNA
Rfam family: Bacterial small subunit ribosomal RNA
Source: RNAcentral
AGUGGCGGACGGGUGAGUAACACGUAAGAAUUUGCCUUUAGGAGGGGGACAACAACUAGAAAUGGUUGCUAAUACCCCAUAUGCUUUCGAGUGAAAUGGAUUUUUCCGCCUAGAGAGAAGCUUGCGGCUGAUUAGCUUGUUGGUGAGGUAAUGGCUCACCAAGGCGACGAUCAGUAUCUGGUUUGAGAGGACGAUCAGACACACUGGAACUGAGACACGGUCCAGACUCCUACGGGAGGCAGCAGUGGGGAAUUUUCCGCAAUGGGCGAAAGCCUGACGGAGCAAUACCGCGUGAGGGAUGACGGCCUAUGGGUUGUAAACCUCUUUUUUCAGGGAGGAAUCAAUGACGUGUACCUGAAGAAUAAGCAUCGGCUAACUCCGUGCCAGCAGCCGCGGUAAGACGGGGGAUGCAAGUGUUAUCCGGAAUCACUGGGCGUAAAGCGUCUGUAGGUGGUCCAGUAAGUCAACUGUUAAAUCUUGAGGCUCAACCUCAAAAUCGCAGUCGAAACUAUUAGACUAGAGUAUAGUAGGGGUAAAGGGAAUUUCCAGUGGAGCGGUGAAAUGCGUAGAGAUUGGAAAGAACACCGAUGGCGAAGGCACUUUACUGGGCUAUUACUAACACUCAGAGACGAAAGCUAGGGUAGCAAAUGGGAUUAGAUACCCCAGUAGUCCUAGCCGUAAACAAUGGAUACUAGAUGUU